This 253-nucleotide ribosomal RNA is filed under the name uncultured bacterium. Its description in RNAcentral is "partial 16S ribosomal RNA". It matches the Rfam family "Bacterial small subunit ribosomal RNA", at positions 524 to 776 of the family's 1533-position model. The record is from RNAcentral.
UACGUAGGGAGCAAGCGUUGUUCGGAUUUACUGGGCGUAAAGGGCGCGUAGGCGGCAAAUUAAGUCAGCUGUGAAAUCUCCGAGCUUAACUCGGAACUGUCAGCUGAUACUGAUCUGCUAGAGUGCGGAAGGGGCAAUCGGAAUUCUUGGUGUAGCGGUGAAAUGCGUAGAUAUGUGGAGGAAUACCGAUGGCGAAGGCAGCCUCCUGGGCCAACACUGACGCUCAUGCACGAAAGCGUGGGGAGCAAACAGG